This 397-nucleotide ribosomal RNA is filed under the name Alveolata sp. Its description in RNAcentral is "partial small subunit ribosomal RNA". It matches the Rfam family "Eukaryotic small subunit ribosomal RNA", at positions 582 to 975 of the family's 1831-position model. The record is from RNAcentral.
AUUCCAGCUCCAAGAGCGUAUAUUAAAGUUGUUGCAGUUAAAAAGCUCGUAGUUGGAUUUCUGGUCUAAUGCGCCUGGCCCGCUGCCGUUAGGUAUGUGAGUGCCGGUGCGCGUUUACCAUCCUUCCAGAGAACACUUCUACCAUUUAUUUGGACGGAUGUUGUCUUCUGGAUCCUUUACUUUGAGGAAAUUAGAGUGUUCACGGCAGGCUAUCGCCAGGAUACAUUAGCAUGGAAUAAUACUAUAGGAUCCUGAUCCUAUUUUGUUGGUUUCUAGGAGCAAGAUAAUGAUUAAUAGGGACAAUUGGGGGCAUUCGUAUCAACACGUCAGAGGUGGAAUUCUUGGAUUGUGUUGCGACGAACUACUGCGAAAGCAUUUGCCAAGGAUGUUUUCAUCA